This 113-nucleotide microRNA precursor is filed under the name Theobroma cacao (cacao). Its description in RNAcentral is "mir-395 microRNA precursor family". It matches the Rfam family "mir-395 microRNA precursor family". From Rfam's summary of the family: mir-395 was identified in both Arabidopsis thaliana and Oryza sativa computationally and was later experimentally verified. mir-395 is thought to target mRNAs coding for ATP sulphurylases. The mature sequence is excised from the 3' arm of the hairpin. The record is from Rfam by way of RNAcentral. Lineage: Eukaryota; Viridiplantae; Streptophyta; Magnoliopsida; Malvales; Malvaceae.
CUGUCCUCUUGAGUUCCCCUGAUCACUUCACUGGGGGCUGAUCUUCUUUGGACCCUUGAUAAUAGGGAGGGUCCCUGACCUACUGAAGUGUUUGGGGGAACUCUGGCUGGCGC